GCAUAUCAAUAAGCGGAGGAAAAGAAACUAACAAGGAUUCCCCUAGUAACUGCGAGUGAAGCGGGAAAAGCUCAAAUUUAAAAUCUGGCGGUCUUCGGCCGUCCGAGUUGUAAUCUGGAGAAGCGUUUUCCGCGCUGGACCGUGUACAAGUCUCUUGGAACAGAGCGUCAUAGAGGGUGAGAAUCCCGUCUUUGACACGGACUACCAGUGCUAUGUGAUGCGCUCUCGAUGAGUCGAGUUGUUUGGGAAUGCAGCUCAAAAUGGGUGGUAAAUUCCAUCUAAAGCUAAAUAUUGGCGAGAGACCGAUAGCGAACAAGUACCGUGAGGGAAAGAUGAAAAGCACUUUGGAAAGAGAGUUAAACAGUACGUGAAAUUGCUGAAAGGGAAACGAUUGAAGUCAGUCGCGUGUGCUAGAACUCAGCCUUGCUUUUGCUUGGUGCAUUUUCUAGUGUACGGGCCAGCAUCAGUUUUGGCCGCCGGAAAAAGGCCUUGGGAAUGUGGCACCUUCGGGUGUGUUAUAGCCCUUGGUUGUAUACGGUGGCUGGGACUGAGGAACAUAGCAUGCCUUUACGGCGGGGCUUCGGCCACCUUCAUGCUUUGGAUGCUGGCGUAAUGGCUUUAAACGACCCGUCUUGAAACACGGACC
Molecule: non-coding RNA, 646 nt
Filed under: Bjerkandera adusta
Lineage: Eukaryota; Fungi; Basidiomycota; Agaricomycetes; Polyporales; Phanerochaetaceae
Also listed under: 1 other name
Description: partial contains 28S ribosomal RNA
Rfam family: Eukaryotic large subunit ribosomal RNA
Source: RNAcentral